GUUUAAAAUAAUAAUAGUCGCUAUGGUAACAUGAAAAUAAUAUGAGAAAACAGUAGGAUAUAAUUUUUUACCAAAAGAAUCGUUGAUUUUCAUAAUUUGUUAUUAAAAGGAAUAUGUUAUGUGGCUUUCAAUCGGCUAAAAGUUAAUGUAAAAUGUAACGGUAAAGCGUUUCGAAACAUUGCGUGGAACCGCAAGGGAAGCUGAAACACUCGCUUUGUUGGCAUUAUAGUCAGUAGUUUGCUCGAAAAUACGGUGAAAUAUACUUGCUUUAUAUAAGCAAAAGCUGGUUUUUGAGUUAUAUUUUGGUGAAGCCAUAUUUGCUACAGGUAAAAGACCAUUAUAAACACGCAUAAAAACACGAUAAGCUGUAUUAAUUGCCCCAAAUAAACAAUAUUUAAAAUCACGUACUACAUUGGGCUAUUCCAUUUAAUAUCCGUACCCCCCCUGUCGAGGAUCCCUGGAAUUCUUCAGGGGUAAAGGGUUUUGAGCUUGGAAUUCUUCAGGGGUAAAGUGUUUUGAGUUUGGAAUUCUUCAGGGGUAAAUGGUUUUGAGCUUGGAAUUCUUCAGGGGUAAAGGGUUUUGAGCUUGGAAUUCUUCAGGGGUGAAGAGGUUUGAGAUUGAAAUUUUUCAGAGCUUGGAAUUCUUCAGGGGUAAAAGGUUUUGAGCUUGAAAUUCUUCAGGGGUAAAGGGCUUUGAGCCUGGAAUUCUUUAGGGGUGAAGGGUUUUGAGCUUGGAAUUCUUCAGGGGUAAAAGGUUUUGAGCUUGGAAUUCUUCAGGGGUAAAGGGUUUUGAGCUUGGAAUUUUGGAAUUCUUCAGGGUAAAAGGUUUUGAGCUUGGAAUUCUUCAGGGGUAAAGAGUUUUGAGCUUGGAAUUUUGGAAUUCUUCAGGGGUAAACAGUUUUGAGCUUGGAAUUCUUCAGGGGUAUGACAAUGAAAAACAUGUAUCCUCGACAGGGGGGGUACGGAUAUUAAAUGGAAUAGCCCAUUAU
Molecule: non-coding RNA, 988 nt
Organism: Paramuricea clavata
Lineage: Eukaryota; Metazoa; Cnidaria; Anthozoa; Malacalcyonacea; Plexauridae
Source: the annotation of a GenBank genome assembly